CACAGCUUAAAUCACAUUACCUUGUAAAAGUCUUUGGUUGUGAGAUUUAUACCCAAGUCUAGCCAUGGUUUUCACCAAGGGUAAAAUCAGGAUCAAAAGUAAACAGGGAAGCUUUUAGUACACUUUUACAAGAGUUUUUAUCAGUUACAAGUUCUUUUAGAAAUAUUUCAGAAAUGUGUACGGGCAAGUUGAGAAACAUGGCACCAGCGUGUCUAAAAGUUUUAGCACUGCAUAUUUCAGUGGUGCCAUUUCAGCUGUUGGUGCUCUAUGUGUGGACAUGGCAGGAACAUAAAUACAGGUUAUUAUGAACACAUAGUACUGUCCUUCUCAUCUCCCACAUACCUGCAAGUUAGCAGUUUCUUGUCGUCAAACUAUGCUUAUAAUAUUUUCCUGUGUUUCAAAUUCUCUUUUUAUCACAUGUAAAUAUAUAAUUACAUUUUGUUUCUAUCGAAAUCAAAAUGACUUCUACACGGAUUAUAUCUAACAUGCUAGAUCAUGCUAGAUUUCCUAUUCACAUUGACUUUUGUAACUCAUGCGUAGUAGCUAAAAAGUUGACACUUUAAUUUGAACCGAAAGCCCUGCAUUCCCAAGGCCCUAGCAAUGGUGUUCUCCGUGUACUGAUCAUCUGAUGUUCAGGCAACACAGUCUGACAUAUUUCUAAAGCAGACAUCCCCCCUUAUUAUCCAUCUGCGUUUUCUUUAUGAAACAUACAAGAUAGCAUUGUCACAUAGCUUAAUAAGAAUACACAGUCUACUGGUUUGUUGUAAUUCCGGCGGCUUUGUUCUUGCUCACUCCUUUCUUCUUGGUCUCUCCUUCUCUUUCAUGAUUGUUUUGCUGGUCAUGAUGAUAUCUCUUUGAAAAUGAGAAGAAAAGGGAAGGAAUCAGUGUUCAAUCUUUAGCAUCUGUAGCCAGCUACUACCUUCUCUUUUAUGUGUGUUUUAUUUUUGUCUUCCUCCCUUCUCCUUAUUGUAGUCCCUCUCGUCCCAGUAUGCACACACACAAACACACAGAACUUAUCAACUAUCAACUUUAUCUCAUCUUUACAACCGCACAACAAAGACAGCAGUGCAGUGCAGUUCCAUCUCUGAGAAAUCAGCAACUGUGAGAUAAUUCUGUAACUAAUAAAGUGAAAGGGGCCCUUUGAUGGCCGGAGCUGAAAAGAUACUUAAUUUUUUGUGUGUGGGAUUUGAGAUGUGUGAUUCUAUGGAGCGAGCUGGCUCCCCUGCUGCUAGGCUCUGGCUAGAAGCUGGCCCCCCUCUGGCUAAUGUUAUGGAGAAUCGGUGGAAUUUUAUGGCUGUCUUUUCCCUCAGCCCCCUCUUUUCUUUUGUUCCCCUUUGAAGAAUGACUUUAGACAUUUUAUUUACAUAUUUAACCAUGGAUGAAAGAAACACAGGGUGAAAAACGAAAGCUCCUUCAGUUCUUGUGGGAAUUUGGAUAAGUUUAAAUGAACCAAAAUUCUAUUAGCUUUUAUAAAUUAAUUUAAGUUAGUUUUUUCUCAAAUUGGGAGAUGCACAGACAGUCCGCCAGAAUAAUAGGGAUACCAUUGAAAAGGACACCAAUCUUGUUCUGAUAUCAAAUUUCAACAACUGUCUGGUAUGACAGCAAUUCAACCAAACCUUGUAAAGCUAAAUAUCUGAUUUAAUUACUUGUGGUUAAGGUGUAGCCCAGUCUGUUACAACAUGUGAGGUAUGCCAUGGAAGAGAGAGGGGGACGUUUUAGACAUGUUUUGUAUUGUUGGCGAAGCUGAAAGGGCAUUUUGAUUAAACGUACGGGUGGGGUAAGGGUAUAAUCUUCUUAACCAAGGCCUCCUCUCUUCAUUCAUGGCCCACAAUAAGAAGAAACAACACUCUGUUGGAGGUUAGACUAUUUAUUUAGAUGCCCUGCUCAUUGUUCAGAGGUCUUGUUGUCCAUUGCAAUUCCAUGCAUUUAUUUAACAUUAUAGAGCUUAGUUCGUUCUCCUAAACAUUUUUAAGUAUGUAUAUGUAGUAAAUUAGUUAUUACAGGGGAUAUUUUUUCAAUGAGACUCGGGUUUGUCAUUUAAUGGCCCUAUUUUUUCCUGUCAGUCAUAAGUUAUUAUGAGCCUAUUUGAUAACAUGAUUAUUUAAAAAAGGUGAUCAAAUGCUGCUUCUUUCCAGCCCAAAGUGUGUUACAUUAAAGAGAUGAAUAAAUAAAUGAGAAUAGAAAUUAAUGAAGAGUAAUAUAGAUUGUAGAGAAAUGAAUGAGAAAGCCUUGCUACGUCUACUAAGAAUGAAUAUUCAAACUUCCAUAAAUGUAUGGAGAAAUCAUAAAAAAGUAAAUAAAAAAAUAAAAUCAAUCCCAUUUGAAAUGCAAGAGCUUAAAUAAGAGCAUCAGUUUUGGUAAAGGGUCAGAUGUUUUGAGGAAAUGCGCAUGAAUCUGGCAAUUAAUUAUUUAAGAGCCCUGCAAAACAUCAAAGCUCCAUGUAUUCUUUGCACAUAUGGUUUUAAUAGUUCAAUCAAAAUAACUUAUUAAUGAGAGCUAAUUUGUCCUACUCUCUAUCUAUGCUUCAAGAAAAUCUACUUUUGUAUAUGCUACACAGUCUCACACAUCAUGGAUUUUGUGCGUUCUGUGUGUUUUAGUGACAGCUGAUGGUGUGAAAAUGGUUAGACAACAAAAACAGUUAAGGUUAGGUAACACUCCCACAUUGUUAAGGUUAGGGCUAAGGUUUUACAACAAAAACAGUUAAGGUUAGGUAACACUCCCACAUCGUUAAGGUUAGGGCUAAGGUUUACAACAAAAACAGUUAAGGUUAGGUAACAUUCCCACAUCGUUAAGGUUAGGGCUAAGGUUUACAACAAAAACAGUUAAGGUUAGGUAACAUUCCCACAUCGUUAAGGUUAGGGCUAAGGUUUACAACAAAAACAGUUAAGGUUAGGUAACACUCCCACAUCGUUAAGGUUAGGGCUAAGGUUUUACAACAAAAACAGUUAGGGUUAGUUAACUCCCGAAUAGUUGUAGUUCAAGGUAAGUUUAGACAUAAUUUUUUUUCACUCUGGUGAUUCAAACUCACAAGCACUGACUUACAAACCACCUAAUGCAUUUUUGCACAAAUCAGGUCUACAUAAAACACUCAAAAGUGCACAAAUUCCAUGAAAUUCUUUUUACUCUGAUUUGUGUGAAUUAGACCCUGUUGGUAUAUCUGAGUCACAAGCAGACAUCCUUAUAAUAGUUAGUUGUGCAGUGAUGUUGUGGCUACUGCAAGUCUUAAAGCCAUUUUGGAAAACCAACACACUGGUGGUAUGUAUCUGCUGUGUUGGUGGAUAAUUAAAGGGAGUUAAUAAGGGCAACUCACUGCUGGUGUUUAUAGUGUGGAUUAGUUGAGAGAUGAUGACAGAUACUUUCAAACAAAUGGGGCAAGUCUCACUGGCCCUCUAACAGUUUUGCAAUAAACACAGUGGUAUAAUGAAUUAUGUCUGUUGUGCAUCAGAUCCAAUAACUCUUGGAACUUCUUAGAAAAGGGAAAUGUUAGUAUAGUAGUUUGUUCUUACAUCAUCCUCCUUUCAAGUGGUCGUCAUUUGACACGCAUAUGAGGAGAAGAAGGCGUCCCCUCUGAGUCUGUUCACUAGCUCCAGGCAGAGCACUGAAGCAAAACAGUUACAGUUAACUUCUUGCAAAACACAUUUUUGCUGGGAAAGUCAUUUUGGAUCCGAUGGGAAUCUGUGUUUGCUGGACUUGUUUUUGCAUUUUAAUAAAACGUUUCUCAGAACAUGGUGUGACUUACUGACAUUACAGUUUGGAUGCAGCGACGAAUGAAGGAGGAAAAAACUGUUAGAAAGAGAGUAAACAACUUAAGGCUUCCAUUGGUGAAGAGAAUUGAUGGAAGUAUUACCCAGGGUCCUCGUGGGGGCACUUGAGUGUGAAUCGCUAAUCAGGAAGGCCUUCUCUUUUCUAAUCCCUCUUUGAGUGGCCGGCCUGGAAUGAGUACAUCUGGGGAGACUCCCCACUGCUUCUGGCUCUGGAGGUUCUAUUCAGAGCCACAGCCCUCCUGUACCAUUCCCACAGUCCGCUUACACUGUGCAGCACAGCCACGCACACUCACGAGCACGUGCACACACACAACACACACACACACACACACACACACAGGCAUGUACAGACACACACACACACAUUUCCUGCUUCAACCAAAUUAGAUUAGACCCUUUCCUUUUCUCCCUAGCAAAGCACUGUCCUUUUCUCUGCCCAGAGACCUUCUCCUACCCUUUUGUCUCUGUUCCAAAAUAGAGAAACAAGUUCCCAAACAAACCCCCCCUAUGAAAGUUCUGGUAUAGAAACAGGCGAGCGAAAGGCAGCCAUCUUUGAAUGGCCUUAUUUGAUUUCAUAAUAUCAAUACCCCAUUUGUUCAACUACCCUAAUGAGGAUGUUUUGUGGCUUGGUUGGCAGAGCAGUGAGAACAAGGCCAGCUGCGCUGCAUGUCAACCUGUUAGUUCACAGGGAAGGGAGCCCCCUUCGUUCACUAUUUCUGAGUGUCUCUUCAUUCUAUUCCCUAAUAUUGUCUUACGUUUUCUUCUCUUUGCUCAUAAAUCAUUCAGUGAAUACAUUUCAACUCAUUCAUUAUAUCCUGUCCAUGUUAACUGCGCUGUUUGUGAUUGGUGGAUGUGUACCUUCAUACACCGCUGUCCUGUGAUGUGUUCUCUUCUUCAUUCAUCAGCUGGGGAAACUCACAAUAUCAAAAUCUAUGUUGGAGUUUCAGAGACCCUCUCAAUAAAGGAAAAGAUAUAUGAAGACUCUGUUCCUGUUGAGUGUGCAGCCAAAGCCAUCCCAAAAGCAGCAAAUUGAGAUCAAAGCUAAAUUAAAGCUGACUCGUUCAAAGACAGAUAAAAAUGUGUGAGCCUGCAGCCAUGUUUUCACUAUUGAUUUCCUUCUCUGCCUGCUCUCCCUGGAACAGGGUUGGCUCUGUGCAGGGCUGGGAGGCUGCCUGGUGCUGAGAGAGAGAGAGAGUAAAUGAUUAUUGAUAAAGUCUCAACAACGAUAAUGAUGAUGACUAGAUAGUUAUCAUGCUGAGAGUCAUUGAGAUGACUGUUCUAUUUUAUAUGUAUGCCAUUGCCAUAGUUUCCCUACAGCUUGCUGUGAUGGUGCAUCAGUGGCCAUGUUAUGUUUGAUAUGUGUGUAUGGUCAAUGCCAGCAUCCAGGUGUUCGUUGAUAUCCAGAAAAUUAUAAUUUGC
Esox lucius (northern pike) is the source of this 5183-nucleotide long non-coding RNA. The record is from Ensembl. NCBI's taxonomy places the organism in Eukaryota, Metazoa, Chordata, Actinopteri, Esociformes, Esocidae.